This 795-nucleotide small RNA is filed under the name Pan troglodytes (chimpanzee). RNAcentral's name for it is "processed transcript". The record is from RNAcentral. Lineage: Eukaryota; Metazoa; Chordata; Mammalia; Primates; Hominidae.
CUCCGUCUCAAAAAACAAAAGAAAAAAAAAGAGAGAGAAUGCCUAAACGUUGUGCUACUGAAAGCCACAGUGCUCCCUUCCUGCAAGGACCAUCUUCAAUAUUCAAGUAAGGCUUAAGGAAUUCAGUGGAUUAGUAUAUGCUCUCAUCUAUUUUUUCACAUUCCUACUAUGAAAAAAUUUCAGGCAAUGCCAAUAAAGCAAAAGUCCCUGUUUGCCCUCAUACAGUCUCACUCCCCUCCUCAAAGGUAGAUCACUGUUAUCAGGCAUGAGCCACCGCACCUGGCUGAGUCUGUUUUUCUCAAAAUACUUACACAUAUAUAAACGUAGUGAUUUAAAAUAACUUAUAAUUAUUAACCCAUUUACCUUAAUUUCUUUUAAGUUAGGUACCAAGAAUGUAUCCACAUUUAAAAAAUUUUAAAAGAAUGCACCCAUUUUCCCAUAUAGUAUUUCACUAUAACACUUAGGCCUCAUGGCAACCUUCUGAAGCAUGCAUGACAAUAUUUGUAUUUUUUAGUUUCUAAUCCUUAAUUCGGUCAGCCAGCAAACAUUAGCUGAGUGCCUGCUCUGCCGUGGGAAUGACGCUGCAGAUACAGCGGUGAACAGUCACGAAUACUACAUGUUUUUUACAGCCUAGCAGUGGAGCUAAAUGAAGUAAAUGAUGUAAAUAAAGAAACCAAAGCUCAGGAAUUUAAAGUGAUUUGCAAUAGACGACAAGCCUAGUAGGGAAUAGGACUAAAGCUGGAAUCCAAAUCUUCUUACUUCUAAUCUGGUAUACUUUCUUCUAAUAACUUGCUG